This 229-nucleotide ribosomal RNA is filed under the name uncultured bacterium. RNAcentral describes it as "partial 16S ribosomal RNA". It matches the Rfam family "Bacterial small subunit ribosomal RNA", at positions 16 to 244 of the family's 1533-position model. The record is from RNAcentral.
GUCAUGGCUCAGGACGAACGCUGGCGGCGUGCCUAACACAUGCAAGUCGAACGGACGAGGCCCCUUCGGGGACCGAGUUAGUGGCGGACGGGUGAGUAACGCGUGAGCAACCUGCCUUUCAGUGGGGGACAACAGUUGGAAACGACUGCUAAUACCGCAUGAUGCAGCGAGAUCGCAUGAUCUUGCUGCCAAAGAUUUAUUGCUGAAAGAUGGGCUCGCGUCUGAUUAG